UUCAAUUGUUUCAAAACUUAAAGAGACAAAAGAAAUAUGGCGCACAUGGUUGCACAUGGUGUGAUGGUGGCAGCGUAGGUGAUUGAAUUUCCAGUUUUUUCUAGGUGUUUAGGUUUGUCAAUAACUUCUGCUGAUGAGAUGCAGUAACAGGAGGAGAAGCUAGAAAUUAAAAAGAGGAAGAAACUAUGCAUCAUCAGAGGGUGUAUUAACGAAAAUAGCAG
Molecule: long non-coding RNA, 221 nt
Organism: Osmia bicornis bicornis
Lineage: Eukaryota; Metazoa; Arthropoda; Insecta; Hymenoptera; Megachilidae
Exons: 3
Source: RefSeq, a predicted model, not a curated record